GCCCCAGACUCCUACGGGAGGCAGCAGUCGGGAAUAUUGCGCAAUGGAGGAAACUCUGACGCAGUGACGCCGCGUAUAGGACGAAGGUCUUCGGAUUGUAAACUAUUGUCGUUAGGGAAGAGAAAGGACAGUACCUAAGGAGGAAGCUCCGGCUAACUACGUGCCAGCAGCCGCGGUAAUACGGAGGACGCGAGCGUUAUCCGGAUUUAUUGGGUUUAAAGGGUGCGUAGGCGGGCUUUUAAGUCAGCGGUAAAAAUUCGGGGCUCAACCCCGUCCGGUCGUUGAAACUGGGGGCCUUGAGUGGGCGAGAAGAAGGCGGAAUGCGUGGUGUAGCGGUGAAAUGCAUAGAUAUCACGCAGAACCCCGAUUGCAAAGGCAGCCUUCCGGCGCCCUACUGACGCUGAGGCACGAAAGUGCGGGGAUCGAACAGGAUUAGAUACCCGAGUAC
RNAcentral lists this ribosomal RNA (448 nucleotides) under uncultured bacterium. RNAcentral describes it as "bacterial SSU rRNA". It matches the Rfam family "Bacterial small subunit ribosomal RNA", at positions 328 to 793 of the family's 1533-position model. The record is from RNAcentral.